CAGGUCCUUUGCUUCCUCCUGCAGCACAGCCUGGAGCCUGACUCCUGCACAUGGUGGUAGUAAUAGAAACACCUGAUGCUCCAUGGUGAAGGAUCCUCAGAGGUAGAGGAGGACACGCCCCGCCCAGACCUGGUCUUAUCAUCAGUUACGUCAUAUAAAGCGAAAAAUACAGUAAUUCUAACUCGCCAGCAGUUUUGUACAAGGACAUCAUGAUGGAGGAUCACCACCCGCUCACAUCACCAGUUAAGGAAGAGAGAAGAACACCGGAGAGAUGUCCCAGUCCUCUUCUUCCACAGGAUGGUU
Bufo gargarizans (Asiatic toad) is the source of this 303-nucleotide long non-coding RNA. RefSeq lists it as uncharacterized. NCBI's taxonomy places the organism in Eukaryota, Metazoa, Chordata, Amphibia, Anura, Bufonidae. The transcript has 3 exons. The record is from RefSeq and is a predicted model, not a curated record.